Molecule: ribosomal RNA, 779 nt
Filed under: uncultured Neocallimastigales
Lineage: Eukaryota; Fungi; Neocallimastigomycota; Neocallimastigomycetes; Neocallimastigales
Description: partial large subunit ribosomal RNA
Rfam family: Eukaryotic large subunit ribosomal RNA
Source: RNAcentral
CGCAUCUGUGCAUGCAGCAUAUCAAUAAGCGGAGGAAAAGAAACUAACAAGGAUUCCCUUAGUAACGGCGAGUGAAGCGGGAAGAGCUCAAAUUUGAAAUCUUCAAGGUUUUACCUUGACGAAUUGUAGUUUAAAGAAGUGUUUUUCUGUUGAAGUUUUGGUAAAAGUUCUUUGGAAUUAGGACAUCAUAGAGGGUGAGAAUCCCGUAUUUGACCAUUAUUUUCAGCUGUGUGAUACACUUUCAAAGAGUCGGAUUGUUUGGGAAUGCAGUCCAAAAUGGGUGGUAAAUUUCAUCUAAAGCUAAAUAUUGGCGAGAGACCGAUAGCGAACAAGUACCGUGAGGGAAAGAUGAAAAGAACUUUGAAAAGAGAGUUAAACAGUACGUGAAAUUGUCAAAAGGGAAGCGUUUGACACCAGUGUUGUUUUUCUCGAAAAUCAAUUAAAAAGGAGUUUAGAUUUUGUUGUGUAUUGACCUUAACAGCUUGCAUUUCAAUUUUCUUGCUUUUUUUAAUGCACUUUUCGUUUAACAAGUCAACAUCAGUUUCUUUUGUUGUAAAAAGGUCAUUGGAAGGUGGCUUUCUUUUCGGAGAAAGUGUUUAUAGCCUUUGACUCCUGCAAUCGGAGAGACUGAGGUCUGCAGCGUAGAUCCUUCGGGGUUAGAUACAUUUGUGCUAAGUUAUAGCUUUUUAUAGACAACUUGUUGACUAUGAUUAGUCUUGUAGCUUACUCGCUUAUGCUAUUUUACCUACGCUUAGGAUGUUGACACACGCGCGUGCUCG